UACGUAGGGUGCGAGCGUUAAUCGGAAUUACUGGGCGUAAAGCGUGCGCAGGCGGUUCUGCAAGUCCGGUGUGAAAGCCCCGGGCUCAACCUGGGAAUGGCAGUGGAAACUAGGGGACUGGAAUCUGGCAGAGGGGGGUGGAAUGCCGCGUGUAGCAGUGAAAUGCGUAGAGAUGCGGCGGAACACCGAUGGCGAAGGCAGCCCCCUGGGCUGAGAUUGACGCUCAGGCACGAAAGCGUGGGGAGCAAACAGG
RNAcentral lists this ribosomal RNA (253 nucleotides) under uncultured bacterium. RNAcentral's name for it is "partial 16S ribosomal RNA". It matches the Rfam family "Bacterial small subunit ribosomal RNA", at positions 524 to 776 of the family's 1533-position model. The record is from RNAcentral.